Long non-coding RNA from Carya illinoinensis, 945 nucleotides. RefSeq lists it as uncharacterized. The transcript has 2 exons. The record is from RefSeq and is a predicted model, not a curated record. NCBI's taxonomy places the organism in Eukaryota, Viridiplantae, Streptophyta, Magnoliopsida, Fagales, Juglandaceae.
CCAACCCAACUCUCUUCCAUUCAACACACCUCUCUCUUACGGUCCAUCAAGUUUACUCUCUUCGAACAAGGCAAAACCCUAGCAACAUGCUGAUCAACUCCAAUGACCUUGAAGAACAAUUCUGUGGGCUUCCAUGGCCUCCUCUUGAUGAAGAGACCCUUUUCAUCAUUCCCAUGAAGUUUGACCUUUCCUAUUUCUUUGAAGAUUUUGGAGAUACCAACAGCACAAAGAAGAAAAGGCAAAACCCAACUCAACAUGGAGUUGGCAAACAGAUGAAGAGGCUCAAGGAAGUUCUGAAGCCAGACCAAACAUGUUGGACUGAAUUCAAACCUAAGGAGACAGGUCAAACUAUAUCAGAACCAAACUUGAAGGAAGAAAAGUUGAAGGGCAUUAGAAUUGAGACUUGAGUCAGGGAAGAGAAAACCUUCAUCAAGCAGAUCGAGAGUUUGAGCAAUGCCAAUAGAUUAGCUUAAAAGCAUACGGUAAAGAAUGUGAUGACGCUGUCGAGUUGUCCACAUGCAUGGAGGAUCGAUCCUUGGGAGUUGUUGGCCUGUUGUCUUGUGCAAUCGGCAUGGACAUGAGAUAUGGCUUUCAGUGAUUGCAGUAUCAAAAAUUUGAGAAUUUUUUAAGGUUACUUUUUGCAGAGUCCGUAAGUGCAUUAUGGAUGAUGGGAUGUGUUGCUUUGUGGAUUGCCAAUUUCUCGAUUGCAUCCCACUAACCUUUUUUCUCUUUUAGGAAAUUAAUGUGUGUAUAGGUGUCCAGACUCCAUACCCGUGUAAGCUUUUUGGAAAAAAAAAAUUAAUAAAUAAAUAUUUUUUGAGUAAUUAUUAAGUCAUCUCACAGCACGGAUAUGUAAUAUUCUCAACGAUGUCAUAUCAUUAAAAAUUAGCAAAUAAUAAUAUUUUGUUGAAGAAGUUGUGUGAUUGUGCUUGUGCAUUUCUGUUA